GUACCCGCUGAACUUAAGCAUAUCAAUAAGCGGAGGAAAAGAAAAUAACAAUGAUUCCCCUAGUAACGGCGAGUGAAGCGGGAACAGCUCAAAUUUGAAAUCUCCUUGGUCUCCAAGGCGAAUUGUAGUUUAAAGAAUCUUUUUCGGGGACAGGCAGGGUAUAAGUCCUUUGGAACAAGGCAUCGUAGAGGGUGACAAUCCCGUACACGAUCCCGCUAUUGGCCCUAUGUGAUAAGAUUUCAAAGAGUCGGGUUGUUUGGGAAUGCAGCCCUAAAUGGGUGGUAAAUACCAUCCAAAGCUAAAUAUUGGCGAGAGACCGAUAGCGAACAAGUACCGUGAGGGAAAGAUGAGAAGAACUUUGAAAAGAGAGUUAAAUAGUACGUGAAAUUGUCAAUAGUGAACGGUUUGGAACUAUUGUUUGUGACUAGAAAAUCAAUGAAUCUUUAUGGUUUAUGCACUUUUCUAUUUACAGGUCAACAUCAGUUUGAUUCGAGAUAAAAAGCUUUAUGAACCCUCGGGCAAGUAAGGUGCUGUCUUGGGUUGGACUGAGGACUGCAGCGUAGUCAUAGGAUAGCGGGUUGCCUCUUUGGAUCCUUUUGUAAACAGCUUGCUGAUUGCAUUAGACGUCUGGGGAGCUCGAUUCGUGAUUCACUACUAUGCUUUGGAUGUUGACAAAAUGGUUUCAAGCCACCCGUCUUGAAACACGGACCAAGGAGUCUAACAUAUCUGCGAGUUUUUGGGUGUCAAACCCAUAAGCGUAAUGAAAGUGAAUAAGAUGGGAUCUUCGGUGCACCAUCGACCGGUCUGGAUUUUUUUGAUAGAUCUGAGUCAGAGCAUAUAUGUUAGGACCCGAAAGAUGGUGAACUAAGCCUGAAUAGGGUGAAGCCAGAGGAAACUCUGGUGGAAGCUCGUAGCGGUUCUGACGUGCAAAUCGAUCGUCGAAUUUGGGUUUAGGGGCGAAAGACUAAUCGAACCAUCUAGUAGCUGGUUCCCUCCGAAGUUUCCCUCAGGAU
This 1013-nucleotide ribosomal RNA is filed under the name Lacustromyces hiemalis. Its description in RNAcentral is "eukaryotic LSU rRNA". It matches the Rfam family "Eukaryotic large subunit ribosomal RNA", at positions 22 to 979 of the family's 3401-position model. Lineage: Eukaryota; Fungi; Chytridiomycota; Chytridiomycetes; Polychytriales. The record is from RNAcentral.